Molecule: ribosomal RNA, 329 nt
Filed under: uncultured eukaryote
Lineage: Eukaryota
Description: partial 18S ribosomal RNA
Rfam family: Eukaryotic small subunit ribosomal RNA
Source: RNAcentral
CCCCUAGAUGUUCUGGGCCGCACGCGCGCUACACUGAACAGUUCAACAAGUCUUAACCUUGGCCGAUAGGUCUGGGUAAUCUUUGAACGCUGUUCGUGAUUGGGAUAGACCUUUGCAAUUAUGGGUCUUCAACGAGGAAUUCCUAGUAAACGCAAGUCAUCAGCUUGCAUUGAUUACGUCCCUGCCCUUUGUACACACCGCCCGUCGCACCUACCGAUUGAAUGAUCCGAUGAAUACAAUGGAUCGAGAGUACGAACAGGUUCGCUUGUUUCUGCUUUCUCGAGAAGUUGAGUAAAUCUUAUCAUUUAGAGGAAGGAGAAGUCGUAACA